CUCUCUAUUAGGAACGUUUCAGUAAUAAUUUGAUGAAAAGUAUGCCAGUAAAAAAAGAAGACAACAACAAAAAAUCAGUCGCUGCUAAAAGCAAAAUGAAGUAUGAAAGUGGAAUAAAAUCUGUUGACGAAGAGACCAUUAUGUCUUUGCUUGCUGAAAAUUUAUCUAUAUGAAAAUCUAUGAGGGCUCAAAUAGAGAGAAUGAAUGCAAUUUUAAAAGAAUAUAAAUCAUAUUCAGCAGCUUCAGAAUAUUUAAGCAAAUACAAUGUUUCAUAAUCAUGAACUUAAUUAAACAUGGUAAAAAUUAUAUAUAUUUAAAAAAAAAAAAAGUAAUGAACUGCACAUAGCAUAAGUGAGUAGUUAGAAUUGUACAUUUGAAAUAAAAUAAAUUUGUAUCAUUUAUAUGAA
This 407-nucleotide long non-coding RNA is filed under the name Polistes dominula (European paper wasp). RNAcentral's name for it is "uncharacterized LOC107073348". The record is from RNAcentral. Lineage: Eukaryota; Metazoa; Arthropoda; Insecta; Hymenoptera; Vespidae.